AUACUUACCUGGCAGGGGGAUACAAUGAUCACAAAGGUGGUUUUCCUAGGGCGAGCCUUAUCCAUUACACUCCAGAUGUGCUGACCCCUGCGAUUUCCCCAAAUGUGGGAAACUAGGCUGCAUAAUUUGUGGUAGUGGGGGACUGUGUCCCUGCUUUCCCCUG
Molecule: small nuclear RNA, 163 nt
Organism: Jaculus jaculus (lesser Egyptian jerboa)
Lineage: Eukaryota; Metazoa; Chordata; Mammalia; Rodentia; Dipodidae
Product: U1 spliceosomal RNA
Exons: 1
Source: RefSeq, a predicted model, not a curated record